Molecule: unclassified non-coding RNA, 247 nt
Filed under: Ascomycota sp.
Lineage: Eukaryota; Fungi; Ascomycota
Description: partial contains small subunit ribosomal RNA, internal transcribed spacer 1, and 5.8S ribosomal RNA
Rfam family: Eukaryotic small subunit ribosomal RNA (bases 1-47)
Source: RNAcentral
AAAGUCGUAACAAGGUCUCCGUUGGUGAACCAGCGGAGGGAUCAUUGCUGGAACGCGCUUCGGCGCACCCAGAAACCCUUUGUGAACUUAUACCUUACUGUUGCCUCGGCGCAGGCCGGCCUCACUGAGGCCCCUCGGAAACGAGGAGCAGCCCGCCGGCGGCCAACCAAACUCUUGUUUCUUAGUGAAUCUCUGAGUAAAAAAAAUAAAUGAAUCAAAACUUUCAACAACGGAUCUCUUGGUUCUG